UUUCACCUACGGGAGGCAGCAGUGAGGGAUAUUGGUCAAUGGGGGAAACCCUGAACCAGCAACGCCGCGUGAGGGAAGACGGUUUUCGGAUUGUAAACCUCUGUCCUCUGUGAAGAUAAUGACGGUAGCAGAGGGGGAAGCUCCGGCUAACUACGUGCCAGCAGCCGCGGUAAUACGUAGGGAGCAAGCGUUGUCCGGAUUUACUGGGUGUAAAGGGUGCGUAGGCGGGCUUGCAAGUCAGAAGUGAAAUCUAUGGGCUUAACCCAUAAACUGCUUUUGAAACUGUAAGUCUUGAGUGAAGUAGA
RNAcentral lists this ribosomal RNA (305 nucleotides) under uncultured bacterium. Its description in RNAcentral is "bacterial SSU rRNA". It matches the Rfam family "Bacterial small subunit ribosomal RNA", at positions 333 to 655 of the family's 1533-position model. The record is from RNAcentral.